Molecule: ribosomal RNA, 462 nt
Filed under: uncultured Anaerolineae bacterium
Lineage: Bacteria; Bacillati; Chloroflexota; Anaerolineae
Description: bacterial SSU rRNA
Rfam family: Bacterial small subunit ribosomal RNA
Source: RNAcentral
GAUGAACGCUAGCGGCGUGCCUAAUGCAUGCAAGUCGAACGGGAUCUCUUGGACUCGUCUGAGAGUGAGAGUGGCGAACGGGUGAGUAACACGUUGGUGACCUGCCCCAGAGAGGGGGAUAACCACUGGAAACGGUGGCUAAUACCCCGGAUGUUAAGAAGGUUAGAGUCUUCUUGACUAAAGCUCCGGCGCUCUGGGAGGGGCCUGCGGCCCAUCAGCUAGUUGGUAAGGUAAUGGCUUACCAAGGCAAAGACGGGUAGGGGGCGUGAGAGCGUGACCCCCCACACUGGUACUGACACACGGACCAGAUACCUACGGGUAGCAGCAGCAAGGAAUAUUGCCCAAUGGACGAAAGUCUGAGGCAGCAACGCCGCGUGAAGGAUGAAGGCUUUCGGGUUGUAAACUUCUUUUCUGGGGGAAGAGAAAGGACGGUACCCCAGGAAUAAGGUCCGGCUAACUACG